CACGUAGGGUGCGAGCGUUGUCCGGAAUUAUUGGGCGUAAAGAGCUCGUAGGCGGUGUGUCGCGUCGGCCGUGAAAACCUGCAGCUUAACUGUGGGCUUGCGGUCGAUACGGGCAUCACUGGAGUUCGGCAGGGGAGACUGGAAUUCCUGGUGUAGCGGUGAAAUGCGCAGAUAUCAGGAGGAACACCCGUGGCGAAGGCGGCCGCCUGGGCCAGUCCUGACGCUGAGCCGCGAAAGCGUGGGGAGCGAUCCGG
RNAcentral lists this ribosomal RNA (254 nucleotides) under uncultured bacterium. Its description in RNAcentral is "partial 16S ribosomal RNA". It matches the Rfam family "Bacterial small subunit ribosomal RNA", at positions 524 to 776 of the family's 1533-position model. The record is from RNAcentral.